CAAUAGCGUAUAUUAAAGUUGUUGCGGUUAAAAAGCUCGUAGUUGGAUUUCUGCUGAGGACGAUCGGUCCGCCCUCUGGGUGAGUAUCUGGCUCGGCCUUGGCAUCUUCUUGGAGAACGUUACUGCACUUGACUGUGUGGUGCGGUAUCCAGGACUUUUACUUUGAGGAAAUUAGAGUGUUUCAAGCAGGCGCACGCCUUGAAUACAUUAGCAUGGAAUAAUAAGAUAGGACCUUGGUUCUAUUUUGUUGGUUUCUAGAGCUGAGGUAAUGAUUAAUAGGGAUAGUUGGGGGCAUUCGUAUUUAACUGUCAGAGGUGAGAUUCUUGGAUUUGUUAAAGACGGACUACUGCGAAAGCAUUUGCCAAGGAUGUUUUCAUUGA
RNAcentral lists this ribosomal RNA (380 nucleotides) under uncultured eukaryote. RNAcentral describes it as "partial 18S ribosomal RNA". It matches the Rfam family "Eukaryotic small subunit ribosomal RNA", at positions 592 to 976 of the family's 1831-position model. The record is from RNAcentral.